CAACAGCUCAGAGCCAAACUGGCCUUCUUCACCACCAGCAUACAGCAAGACCUACAGCACUACGACCAGCAGAGAGACACUGGCAUCUCCUCUGAGAAGAUGCUGAAAGCCUGGCAGGACAAUGAACAGAAAGCUGCUGCUUUUACACAGGUAUCAGAGGUGGACUAUCUGGAUGAGGAGAUAGUGUGUCUCCACU
Molecule: long non-coding RNA, 196 nt
Organism: Coregonus clupeaformis (lake whitefish)
Lineage: Eukaryota; Metazoa; Chordata; Actinopteri; Salmoniformes; Salmonidae
Exons: 3
Source: RefSeq, a predicted model, not a curated record